RNAcentral lists this long non-coding RNA (4587 nucleotides) under Sus scrofa (pig). RNAcentral describes it as "lncRNA (ENSSSCG00035049827.1)". Lineage: Eukaryota; Metazoa; Chordata; Mammalia; Artiodactyla; Suidae. The record is from RNAcentral.
GAAGGAACAGUGAGAACAAAAGCAUGGAGGUGCCAGAGAAAAUGGUCAAAGUGUUGCCAGAACUGGGCCUCUGCUCACUGGUGUGGAAUAGAAACAUGGAGACAAUUUUGGGUGAAGGAGAAAAAAUAGCUGUAUUGCUUUGCCAUGCAGAGGAGGGUCACAGCAGGCUACUGCCUCAAAAACUGUUGCCCCCCCCCCCCUUAGGAGAGAUUGGGAGGUGGUUUUAUGGUUUGGGGAGUGAAAAAUAGGGCUGUAGAUAAGGAUCAGGGUAGAGGCAAGCUUGCAUUGUUUUCAAAGCUGGUGUUCUGUGGUCUGGUGGUCCUCUUUCUGGAAGGAAGAAUGCUUCAUUAACAUCUUCCAUUUGUUGGGGAUUGUAGUUCUGAAGAAGAACUCUAAGAUAAUUGUUAUCUAUAUUCCUUGAGGAGGGACCAGGACCCUGCCCCAAGGCUGCACUAUUGUUUCUUGACUGCUCCUCCCUGGUCUUUGCAACCCCUCCCUUCCCUGAUUAGCAUCCUUUUGAACCUACCCUUUGGAACUCUUGGAGGCUGGCGUUUAUUCCCUAAGAACAAGAACCAGAAAGAGGGACACAGAAAGGCUUGUGUGCCCAGGAGCCCACAGGGCCUUGCUUGGUUUCGAAAGUGAAGUGAACAUUUGGCCCUGGCUGAAGAGCUGGAGAUGAUGUUGGGGAGGCGAGUGGGGACCAAAUACUGAUGAACUUUGUAUACUCAGUUAGAGUAUGGCUUUCUAGCCCAGGGUGAUAGCCCUUUACUGAGGGCUUCUCCAUAAAUUAUCAAUAACCACGUGGUCCCUGUUCACAUGCGUGUCUGUUUGACUUGUACGCAUUCUCAGUGGUCAUUAUGAGAUAACUGGGGACGCUGGUCGUUUGAGUCUUCACUCUACCAUUUACAUCCCUGGGAUCUGGGGUGGGGGUGGGGGGCAGCAGGCAGCAAACAUUUUCGAACCUUUGUUUCCCUGUCUCUAAAUCAUAAUCAGCUUCGCUGAAUGUUGGCAGGAACAAUAUGAAUAUGAAGUAAGAACAUAUACUUUGUAUAGGUGAAGUUUAUGGGACCUCUAGAGUUCUAGAGUCAGUCUGUAGUUAAAGAGUUGCUUUUUACAAAGACUGGGUGAUUCAUUACCAGAAUGGGAGGUGGGAGGAUAACAGUUUCCUCCAGAUAUUAGGUCAGACUUCUCACUAGGUGUGAUCUUGUGAUCUCACUAGGUGUGAUCACUUAACCUCUUUGAGCAGCAGUUCCUCCUAGAAAAAGAAGACAAAUCUUCCCACCUGUAAGGAUUAUAGUGAAGACAAUUAAAUGAGAUAUUUGAUGUAAAGUGUUUGACAGUUAGCAAGGGUUCGAUAAAUGGUGACUAUUGUUGUUUUUAUUCCUGCAAAGAAAGGAGUUAGUAUUCUAGUGUUGAGUGCCAGAAGAGUGGGGCACAGAGCAUAAGAGGUCUUUAGAUACUCUGCUGCUUCUUCUGUUACUCGCUACCUGUCCCCCCAGCUCCCCUCAUGUCCUGUCUUCUUUGCCUCUCAAGGUGGAGUGAAAUAGGAUGUCUCGUAAAUGUGGCACAGCCUUUGCCAUAGCCCCCUCAGACGUGCCCUUCUCAUGCUCUGACAUAUUAAUCAAAACAUGCACAACUGAGGGGGGCUGGUUGAAUUUUCUAACUUUUUCUCCCCUCGCACAUGGGGAUGGUGCCAACUCUGCCUGGUGAACUCAGCCCAGGCAGAUUGGAGGAGCUGGCAUUGAUGGGAGAGGGCUCAGUUACCUAGGAAACAUUUACCUAGGCUGAUGACAGAGGGGCUGCUACCACUACCUAACACAUGCAGACAUGUAUCAAGUUACAGGGGAGAUGGAAAGAAAUAAUUUUCUCUUGAAAUGGGGUAGAUGCAGGUGUUAAUUUCUUUUGAAUGGCAGCUAAUUUUCUGUUUUCAGAGGAGCAGGCUAAAGCUUAAACUUUAACUUCUGGCUGCAAAUACUCAGUUUGUGAACCUGGCAAAACCUCUUUUAAGAAAAAAAGCAAUCCUGGCACUGGACUGUUAAGCUUUCUCCUAGCAGUUUAUUGCAUUUAUUUUACUGCUUUUGGGGAUUAGAAAAUAGUCUCUGGAGGCCAUUUCUUUAAUGACUUGGAAUAUUAAUGUGGAAAAUUUGCUUGUUGGACAAUAUAGUGAGUACUAUAGCUUUGUCUCUAAUUGGCUAUUGGGGCUUUCACUCCCUGAAGUCUUUUUCUAAAAAAUGUUUUCUUUAUUGUGAAAGACAGUGCACAUUAAGAGGAGUGCAUAAAACGAAUGGCCUAAUGAUUUAUCAUAAAGUGAAUAUGUUUAUGAUUGUUACUGAUACUGUGGUGUUCCAGAAGCACUCCUCCUAUUACCUUCUCUCACUUCUUCCAAGAAGGUCACUGCUUAACUUCAUAAAGCAAAGCAAAGAAAUUAUUACUAGAAGUUUUGUCACCUAAGCAUAUAUUUCUAAGCACUGUGGUUUAGUUUUGUUUCGGUUUUGAAUUUCAUAUAGAUGGAGUGAUACAGUAAAAUACUGUUUUAUGUUUGGGUUCCCCCCUCCCAACAUUAUGUAUCUGAGGUUCUUCCUUGUGCUGUGUAGCUGUUGCCUUUUAGUAGCUGAAUAUACUACUGUUUAUCCACUUGACCAUGAUGGGCACUUGGGAUGUGUCUAGGUUUUAGUUAUUAUAAAUAACGAUGUUGUGAACAUUCUUGCCCAUGUCUCUUGAAGUGUAUAUGCAUGUGUUUUGGUUGGUUGGAAUUGUUGGGACAUAGCAUGUACUAUAUGUAUCUUUGGCCUUAGUGGCAUUAAAUAAUAAUUUUUUAAAAAAGUAAAAUCAUUACUUUCAUACAAGUAUAAAACGAACAGGCUAAAGAUUUCAUUUGAUUCAUCAGUUAAUGAGAGAACCAAUGGGAUGUUACAACUGGUUCAAGGGAGGAUUGAAAGACCCCGACAUGUGCAGGCAACAGGAGAUGCCAAAAUGCAUUUGAAUAGAUGUAAAAUGAGUCUAUCCAUGAUGCAGUUAUCCGUUGUAUUCUAUCAGACACAAUUCUUUUGCCUUUAUAUCGAUAAGAAGCAUUUGCAUUAUUAUCAGUUUUCUACGCCUUAAGUAGUUGUAGAUAGCUCAAAGACAAUGAAAAGCAGGAUAACAUGGAAGAGCGAACUAGCCUGCGGAUUCAGUACUCUUUUUUUGUCCCAUUCAAAGUCUUUCGCAGUGUUUCCUGGCAGUAGGUAUUACCUAAAUGUUUUUUCCAAAUGAUUGUUUCCGAUUAUUUUCCCACUAGAAGUAUACUGGAAUUCCUAUUGCUCCAUAUCCUUGACAGUAGUUGGUAUUGUCGGACAUCUCAUUUUUUCCAUUUGGGUAGAUAUUCAGUGAUAUCUCUUUGUGAUCUUAAUUUACAUUUCCCUGAUAAGAAUAAGGUUAAGCCUCUUUUCACCUGUUGAUUAACUAUUUGAAUAUCCCCUUAUGUGAACUGUUGUUCUAUUCUUUUUUUCUAUUUAGAAAAAUUGGAUCACCUGUCUUUUUCCUUUUUUAUUUAGUAGAGCUUCUUUAUAUAUAUAUACACAUAUAUAUAUAUAUUCUGUACAUUAAUGUAUGUUUUCCAGUUGUAUGUAUUGCAGAGGUCUCCUCACCAUUUCUUGCCUUUUCAUUCUCUUAUUAGUGUGCUUUGAUGAAUAAAACAAUUUUAAUAGUCUCAUUUAUUAGUCCUAUUUAUAGUUAAUAAUUUAAAAAAAAAUCCUUAAGAUGCUUUUGAUUACCUUGAUUUCUUGAAAAUAUUUUAGUAUAUUAACUCUUUGAAAUGAUAUCAUUUUGCCCUUCAACUUUGGAUUUCACAACUGUUAGGUUUGCCGAGGGAGGAAUGUGCGAGGUCAAGUUAGUAAAGCAGGAGAGAUUUAUUAAGACAUCAGAGGGGGACUGGCUGAGCUCAAGAUGGUGCCAGCUCCAACUGUGAGGCGAUGCCAGGCUUAGAAAGGAUCUGUGGUGGGAAUCCAUGGCUGGAAUAAUGAAGAAGGAGGAAGAAGGGGGAGGGGAUGAUUAAGGGAGGAGUAGGGGGAUCUAGUCCCAUGACGGAGGGCAGUUAAUCCUUGUAGGUGGUUAAUCUAGACAAGCAGUUGUUUUCUGCAGGCCGUUGUUUCUUGCUACCCAACUUGAGCAUCCAUAUUCCAGGAAAGGGUAUGGAUCUUGUGCUGGGCCUUACCUAUGUCCACAGCAGGUCACCAAGGUGAACAGCCCCAUUACGAGAUGGGGGCGGGUCUGUCUCCAUCCUCCUGAGAACCUAUCAAAAACUACUUUGAUCCCACUCCUGGGCAACUAUUGAGAGAAAGCCAUGACACGAAAAGACACAUGUAUGCCAAAGUUCAAUGCAGCACUAGAUACAAUAGCCAAGACAUGGAAGCAACCUAAAUGUCCAUGGACAGAAGAGUGGAUAAAGAAGAUGUGGUACAUAUACACAGUGGAAUAUUACUCAACCAUAAAAAGGAAAGAAAUAAUGGCAUUUGCAGCAACAUGGAUGGACCCAGAAAUUAUCAUGCUAAGUGAAGUUAGUCAGACAGUGAGAGACCAACAACAUAUGCUAUCACUUAUAUGUGGAAU